This 367-nucleotide unclassified non-coding RNA is filed under the name uncultured Eutypa. RNAcentral's name for it is "sequence contains 5.8S rRNA gene and ITS2". The stretch from base 16 to 142 matches the Rfam family "5.8S ribosomal RNA", at positions 28 to 154 of the family's 154-position model. The record is from RNAcentral. Lineage: Eukaryota; Fungi; Ascomycota; Sordariomycetes; Xylariales; Diatrypaceae.
GCCGCGGGAAUUGGAUUGCAUCGAUGAAGAACGCAGUGAAAUGCGAUAAGUAAUGUGAAUUGCCGAAUUCAGUGAAUCAUCGAAUCUUUGUACGCACAUUGCGCCCAUUAGUAUUCUAGUGGGCAUGCCUGUUCGAGCGUCAUUUCAACCAUUAAGCCCUAUUUGCUUGGCGUUGGGAGACUUGUAGGUCUGGCCUGCAAGCUCCUGAAAUAGAUCGGCGGAGUCGUGGCGACCCUCAGCGUAGUAAUUCUUCUCGCUUUAGGUGUCGGCGCUGGCGUUUAGCCGUUAAACCCCCUAUUUCUUUUAGUCUUGACCUCGGAUCAGGUAGGAAUACCCGCUGAACUUAAGCAUAUCAAUAAGGGGAGGA